AGUGAACGCUGGCGGUAGGCCUAACACAUGCAAGUCGAACGGCAGCACAGGAGAGCUUGCUCUCUGGGUGGCGAGUGGCGGACGGGUGAGGAAUACAUCGGAAUCUACUCUGUCGUGGGGGAUAACGUAGGGAAACUUACGCUAAUACCGCAUACGACCUACGGGUGAAAGCAGGGGACCUUCGGGCCUUGCGCGAUUGAAUGAGCCGAUGUCGGAUUAGCUAGUUGGCGGGGUAAAGGCCCACCAAGGCGACGAUCCGUAGCUGGUCUAGAGGAUGGUCAGGCACACUGGAACUUGGGCACGGUCCAGACACCUACGGGAGGCAGCAGUGGGGAAUAUUGGACAAUGGGCGCAAGCCUGAUCCAGCCAUACCGCGUGGGUGAAGAAGGCCUUCGGGUUGUAAAGCCCUUUUGUUGGGAAAGAAAUCCAGCUGGCUAAUACCCGGUUGGGAUGACGGUACCCAAAGAAUAAGCACCGGCUAACUUCGUGCCAGCCGCCGCCGUAA
RNAcentral lists this ribosomal RNA (505 nucleotides) under uncultured bacterium. RNAcentral's name for it is "partial 16S ribosomal RNA". It matches the Rfam family "Bacterial small subunit ribosomal RNA", at positions 29 to 523 of the family's 1533-position model. The record is from RNAcentral.